This is a long non-coding RNA of Canis lupus familiaris (dog), 520 nucleotides long. RefSeq lists it as uncharacterized. NCBI's taxonomy places the organism in Eukaryota, Metazoa, Chordata, Mammalia, Carnivora, Canidae. The transcript is spliced from 3 exons. The record is from RefSeq and is a predicted model, not a curated record.
CCAAAGGCAGGCGCCAAACCGCUGCGCCACCCAAGGAUCCCAGGAGUAGGGGACCUUAAUUUUUGUCUGGUCCCUGGAAUUCAGCUAGAUAGUUACCAAAUCUUUCUGAACACCUGCAAAAUCAACCAGAGAUCUGAGAAAAGAAUUGCUGCAAUUCUACAAACAGAAAAGUGACCACUUUUUGGAAGUUCCCUAUGAAACCUCCAUGUUGUUGAUGAGGAAGCAAAGAAAAUUUGCUCUAGAACUGGACUGCUUGUGAGAAUAUCCUUGUCUGGAAUCAGACUCCACCACAUUCUCUGGGGCCCAGUGAGAGGGGAAAGAAAUAAAAAAAGUAAUUUACUGACAACCCAGAUCAUGUCAUCAUAACCUCACAUUAAUAUAAUUACCCCCACAAUAAAGACAAAGCAUGAAAUUAGUCUGACAAAAAUUUAGCUUUUUGUAUGUUCAAACUUCAUUUUUAAGCUUAUUUUUAAAUUUUUAAAAAAGAUUUUAUUUAUUCAUGAGAGACACAGAGAGAAAG